Molecule: ribosomal RNA, 380 nt
Filed under: uncultured bacterium
Lineage: Bacteria
Description: partial 16S ribosomal RNA
Rfam family: Bacterial small subunit ribosomal RNA
Source: RNAcentral
UCUACGGGGGGCAGCAGUGGGGAAUAUUGGGCAAUGGGCGCAAGCCUGACCCAGCAACGCCGCGUGAAGGAAGAAGGCUUUCGGGUUGUAAACUUCUUUUAAGGGGGAAGAGCAGAAGACGGUACCCCUUGAAUAAGCCACGGCUAACUACGUGCCAGCAGCCGCGGUAAUACGUAGGUGGCAAGCGUUGUCCGGAUUUACUGGGUGUAAAGGGCGUGCAGCCGGGGAUAAAAGUCAGAUGUGAAACCCACGGGCUCAACACGUAAACUGCAUUGGAAACGGUUUCCCGGGAGUGCCGGAGAGGAAACGGAAAUUCGGGGUGUAGGGGUGAAGUGGGAAGAUAAAAGGAAGAACACCAGUGGAGAGGGCGGAUGACGGGA